RNAcentral lists this ribosomal RNA (219 nucleotides) under uncultured soil bacterium. Its description in RNAcentral is "partial 16S ribosomal RNA". It matches the Rfam family "Bacterial small subunit ribosomal RNA", at positions 26 to 255 of the family's 1533-position model. The record is from RNAcentral.
AGAUUGAACGCUGGCGGCAUGCCUAACACAUGCAAGUCGAACGGGAGUAGCAAUACUCUAGUGGCGGACGGGUGAGGAAUACGUAGGAAUUUGCCCUUAAGUGGGGGAUAACCCGGGGAAACCCGGAUUAAUACCGCAUGACCUCGAAAGAGCAAAGGUGGGGGAUCGCAAGACCUCACGUCUUUUGGAGAAGCCUACGUCGGAUUAGCUAGUUGGUGA